Molecule: ribosomal RNA, 505 nt
Filed under: uncultured bacterium
Lineage: Bacteria
Description: partial 16S ribosomal RNA
Rfam family: Bacterial small subunit ribosomal RNA
Source: RNAcentral
GACGAACGCUGGCGGCGUGCCUAAUACAUGCAAGUAGAACGCACAGUUUAUACCGUAGCUUGCUCCACCAUAGACUGUGAGUUGCGAACGGGUGAGUAACGCGUAGGUAACCUGCCUGGUAGCGGGGGAUAACUAUUGGAAACGAUAGCUAAUACCGCAUAAUAUUAAUUAUUGCAUGAUAAUUAAUUGAAAGGUGCAAUUGCACCACUACCAGAUGGACCUGCGUUGUAUUAGCUAGUAGGUGAGGUAACGGCUCACCUAGGCGACGAUACAUAGCCGACCUGAGAGGGUGAUCGGCCACACUGGGACGGAGACACGGCCCAGACUCCUACGGGAGGCAGCAGUAGGGAAUCUUCGGCAAUGGACGAAAGUCUGACCGAGCAACGCCGCGUGAGUGAAGAAGGUUUUCGGAUCGUAAAGCUCGGUUGUAAGAGAAGAACGGGUGUGAGAGUGGAAAGUUCACACUGUGACGGUAUCUUAACAGAAAGGGACGGCUAACUACGUG